This 467-nucleotide ribosomal RNA is filed under the name uncultured bacterium. RNAcentral describes it as "partial 16S ribosomal RNA". It matches the Rfam family "Bacterial small subunit ribosomal RNA", at positions 28 to 507 of the family's 1533-position model. The record is from RNAcentral.
GACGAACGCUGGCGGCGUGCUUAACACAUGCAAGUCGAACGGAAAGGCCUCGUUUGCGGUGUGCUUGAGUGGCGAACGGGUGAGUAACACGUGAGUAACCUGCCCGUGAUCUUGGGCUAACUUCGGGAAACUGCGGCUAAUACCGGACAGAAUCUCCUGAGGCAUGGUGGGGGUUGCAAAGUUUCGGCGGUUGGGGUUGGAGGCGCGGGGUAUCAGCUUGUUGGUGUGGUAGUGGUUUACCAAGGCUGUGACGGGUAGCCGGCGUGAGAGAGUGAGCCGCGGCAAUGGCACUGACAUACGGCCCAGGCUGCUACGGGAGGCAGCAGUGGGGAAGAGUGCACCAGGGGUGGAGGGCUGGUGCAGCAGCUCCGUGUGCUGGAUGACAGCCUUCGGUUUGAAAACCGCUAUCGCGCAUGGCGAAGCGUGGUGUGACGGUAGUGGGUAAAGAAGCACCGGCUAACUACGUG